UACGUAGGGGCAAGCGUUGUCCGGAAUCAUUGGCGUAAGAGCGCGUAGGCGGCCCUGUAAGUCCGCUGUGAAAGUCAAGGGCUCAACCCUUGGAUGCCGGUGGAUACUGCAGGGCUAGAGUUCGGAAGAGGCGAGUGGAAUUCCUGGUGUAGCGGUGAAAUGCGCAGAUAUCAGGAGGAACACCAGCGGCGAAGGCGGCGCUCUGGGCCGGUACUGACACUGAGGAGCGAAAGCGUGGGUAGCAAACAGG
Molecule: ribosomal RNA, 250 nt
Filed under: uncultured bacterium
Lineage: Bacteria
Description: partial 16S ribosomal RNA
Rfam family: Bacterial small subunit ribosomal RNA
Source: RNAcentral